This 440-nucleotide ribosomal RNA is filed under the name uncultured bacterium. RNAcentral describes it as "partial 16S ribosomal RNA". It matches the Rfam family "Bacterial small subunit ribosomal RNA", at positions 338 to 795 of the family's 1533-position model. The record is from RNAcentral.
CCUACGGGAGGCAGCAGUAGGGAAUAUUGCUCAAUGGGGGAAACCCUGAAGCAGCAACGCCGCGUGGAGGAUGAAGGUUUUAGGAUUGUAAACUCCUUUUGUUAGAGAAGAUUAUGACGGUAUCUAACGAAUAAGCACCGGCUAACUCCGUGCCAGCAGCCGCGGUAAUACGGAGGGUGCAAGCGUUACUCGGAAUCACUGGGCGUAAAGAGUGCGUAGGCGGGAUAAUAAGUCAGAUGGGAAAUCCUGUGGCUUAAAUACAGAACUGCAUUUGAAACUGUUACUCUGGAGUGUGGGAGAGGUAGGUGGAAUUCGUGGUGUAGGGGUAAAAUCCGUAGAGAUCAAGAGGAAUACUCAUUGCGAAGGCGACCUGCUGGAACAUUACUGACGCUGAUGCACGAAAGCGUGGGGAGCAAACAGGAUUAGAUACCCUAGUAGUC